UUUUUUUUCCACCCAGAACACAACCAAAAAAGAAAAAAGUUGUUGUGGAGGAUUCACCUCCUAAAGAAGAUCAAUACUUUGACGGUGAGACAUAUGAAAUAUCAAGUGACGAACUGGAUGAAUGGCUAGGGCAAAACGUUGAUAAAUCUGCUGCAGAGGGGGAGAACCAACCUGACCUGCGAUCGACAGAAGGUCGCUAUGUGUCGUCUGAAAC
Non-coding RNA from Arachis ipaensis, 214 nucleotides. The record is from RefSeq and is a predicted model, not a curated record. NCBI's taxonomy places the organism in Eukaryota, Viridiplantae, Streptophyta, Magnoliopsida, Fabales, Fabaceae.